UGUGAUAGAUGAGAUGCAAUGAGGAGGCUGGGAAGCUGAUGGAAGUGGUUUACAUGGUGAAAUCAAUGCAGUUGUGGAAAUCUAUUGUUGAGUUUAGCCACAGAAACAGAAAUCGCUAAUAUUGAUAACUUGGAUAUUUCUUGUAGACAGGGUAAGAAAAACAGCAAGUUCACCAUGACGUUAACUGACCAGAACAUUGAAAGAUAUAAAAGAGAAAGAUGUAAAGGCAACAGAAUUCAGGAUGUUACAAGCUGUUUUUCAGAGGAAAUCCAGGUGUACAGAAAUGGUCUGGAUAUUUGCGGACCUGGGACCACGAGACACCACAGAGCUCACAGAGCAGUCCAGAAACAGCCAAAGAGGCAGGAAGAUGCAGCAGUGGAGAGAAUACCGCCUUACAAAAUGCAAGUUCCUCUCAGUGCAGAAUACAGAGCAGAGAGCAAACGAAGUUUGUUUAGGGUUUGAUUUUUUUUUUUCUCCUUUUUUUUGAGACACCAUUUAUACAUUUGUUACCAUCUCUAUGUGAAGGUUUUUGAGAACCAGGUGUUCACAGAUUUCCCAGCUCUUCUAUUCUCGCUGUUAAUCAGUUGUACUGUAUGGCCUGGGCACUUUGAACUCUCAGCAAAUAUGAUUUUGAGAGCAUUUUGGAAGAUUUUAUAACAAGGAAGUUAAACAAGUGAAUAAAAAAGGGGAAGAUGCAGCCUGCAGUGGAAGUAAUUGUUAUUACUAAAGGAGUAUGUGAAGUUAUUAACUUGUUAUUAACAUACGUCCACUGAGUCCACCACUUAACGUGGGCUUUAAUAGCAAAUACUGUAAUAAACAAAGGCACAGCUGGCUGCUUUAGGAACGAGCAGUGGAAAAGGAGUUAUAGGCACACCUGUCAAAUGUCUAAAUUCACCUGUGGUCAUGAGCUUCUCCUUUGAUAGUAAAGGCAGAUCAGCUGCUGACUUAGAUGCUGCGAUUGCCUCUCCCGAUACAAACUGUCUCAGAAUUCCGGUUCUCAAUACAGCCUCGGUGAGGAAGGUGAAGGGAAAGGUGGCUUUCCUUUCUCAGUGUUGUAUGCGUAAUACCAUAUUGAUCUGCACAUUUCGUGUUAGUGUUUUCAGUCAACAGAAUAUUACAUCUUAGAUCUCAACGAUUAUUCCAUCCUGACUUAACGAGACUGGUAUUUCUAAAUAGCCAGUAUCACAUCCUUAUAGACUAUUCUCCUGUGGCAUGAUGUAAUCUUGGGUAGUUUGAUCCAAACCUGUUGAAGGCACUGGGAAGGAUCAGUUGAUUUCAGUGGGUUUUAGAGGAUCAGAAACAGAUAUAAGAUUUGGACCAGACCGUUAGUGUAACAGAAUGUUACUGCUUGCAGCAGCAGAGUGUUUUCCCCACUAUGCUAAAUCUCCUUAAGAUAUUUAAAGAAAUUUGUAUAAGAGGUCCAGUUUUCCUUUCCCCUCCCAAAACACUGAAAACAUUUCAGUUGCCUAUGCUAAUAGUUUACAGUAUUGUGUUUCAGAAAUGCAGGCAUCAUGAGCUGCAUACAGGCACAGAAUGUUAUGAAACUGAUGCAUUUUAAGUUGUCGAAGCAGCUUUUGUUCACGGAGUUAUGUGUAAAGUUUCAUCCCACAGGGAAGGUGUGUGUGAGGUUUUUUUGUUUUGAUUUUUUUUUUUUGGUUGGUUAUUUUUUUCAAGCAGAGUUAUUAGGCCCUGAAAAAUGGACUUGCUGAUAUAAUCUGAAAUAGUAUUUCCUGAAGGGCCAUGUUAGGAGUCUAAUGAGCCCCAUUGUGAGAGUCAUUUGUCAUUUUAUCCCUACAGGCAAAUUUGUAAAGGUUAGUGAAGGCUAUUUGUCAAAAUUAAAUGCUGCUUAAAAUUUUGUUUCCAAAAUAAAGUAGUUUGUAAAUAGUACUAGUUGUCCUUUUCGGAUUAUUUUAUUAAAAAUAAUUUUGAAUGGGACAUAGGGGGAAAAGAGUGUCUAAAGUGAGAUUGUUUCUAUACUUGCUUAAGUAUGAAGGGCUAAUUUUCUAUAUAAAUAGUUUCCACGUAGCUUGAUAGUCAGUCACUCCAAUUUAUAAAACAAAUACUGAAACAAAAAAGAGAAUGCUAGUUUUCCUAAACUUUGUAAUCAGCAAACUCUCCCCCAAAGAUGGAUCAAAUCCUCUUUUUUAAUUUAUUCAGUAUAAAUGAAUUAAAUUGAAACCUGAUUAGCUCACAGUUGGGAGAAUCUCUCUAUAAUGAUUUGGAACACUUACUAGAGGUUAACCCCAAAUCCCAUGCCCUGUAUUCUUCUGUAUUUUCUAGUGGCAUUGUUUGUUCAUGGUAAGAGCCUUUCUUUUGGAGGUUGCUGAAAUACUUAUGUGCCUUUCCCCUAUGUUUUAAAAAGCUUAUAUGUUAAUAUUGUACUCAACAAUUCUCCAGUAAGCAUUGUCUGAGAAGCAGUUAGUGAGUCAAUAUUUAUGAAGUUGAGUGUAUGAGUGACACAAAAGUAUUAUAUUCCUCUAAGCAGUAGAGGAAUUACCAUGAUUGUAAAGUAGUAAUUCCAUUAGCUUGAUGUCAAAGCUAUGCCUGCUUCUUUUCUGCUAAAGACAAAAGCCCUUGUGAAAGUGCUUGCUCAUUAUCGAGAAACAAUAGGAUACUACUAUGCAGUUGAGUAUGAAAAGUUUUAGUCUUACAUCAACAAUAUGUUAAUGAUAAGCAUAACAGCAGCUUGUUGACAUACUGAAUUCUUUAGGAUAAUUAUUAUGUCAAAUGUUUUUAGAACUUUUACAGACAAGUCUCUUUUUUAAGUCCAGAUCGUAGCCAAAAGGUGGCAGUAUUCUAUUCAAUAUUCAUUUGCAAAAGAGUAUAAAAAUGCAUGUAUUUAUUGACACUUUGCUUCUAAUAUCAGAUCAAACUGGAUGAUUGUAUCCUGAAAAUGAUGUAGGUUUAUGAAAAAGACUUAUUUAGGAUGAAAUUAGAAAUGAAGUUUCUUUAUUCUACCUGAAAGCUUGCAAAAAGUAAUCUGUUACAUAAAUUUUAAAUAUUAGAUGGGUAGCAUAUCAAAUGAUAUCUGCAUGGUCACUAGAUAAUAACUUUAGGAUUUUUGUGUUUUUAGGGAGUGCUUAAGAGCAUCAGAACACUUUCUCUAGGUGUUGGCAGAGUUAACUCAUUGUACCUUCAGAAAGAAAUUAAUCUCCUUAUGUUUUUAAUAUGAGCCAAAACUGCUGCGUUAAAAGCAAUUUGUUUUAUACACCCUAGAGAUGUUUUAUUUUUAAUGAAGUAUGGUCUUUUUUGUGCUGACACAACAAUAAGUUGAAGAAUUGUUGAAAUACUGUUUUUCGUGCUUGCCACAUUUUUUAGCUAUACACCAAUGGUUUCUCUCAGAAUACUUUGAGAUAAAAGUUUAAGUGUUAGUGGGAGAGAAUGCUUGCAAGUGCCAUUAUGUUCAAGCAAAUGUUUAUGUAAAUUUUGAUGCAUAGUUAUGUCAGAUGUAAAUAUGAAAUUAUUGUAGUUACAGAAUGUUUAAGUUCAAUGCAGUAAAUUAUUAUUUUAUAUUGAUAUUAAAUACUUUAAAAAUCA
Long non-coding RNA from Columba livia (rock pigeon), 3537 nucleotides. RefSeq lists it as uncharacterized. The record is from RefSeq and is a predicted model, not a curated record. Lineage: Eukaryota; Metazoa; Chordata; Aves; Columbiformes; Columbidae. The transcript is spliced from 3 exons.